Molecule: microRNA precursor, 62 nt
Organism: Gadus morhua (Atlantic cod)
Lineage: Eukaryota; Metazoa; Chordata; Actinopteri; Gadiformes; Gadidae
Source: Ensembl
CACAUUCAUCGCUGUCGGUGGGUUGAGAAUAAUGCUGUCAACUUGCCGGACGCUGAAUGUCA